This is a long non-coding RNA of Pseudopipra pipra, 2215 nucleotides long. RefSeq lists it as uncharacterized. The record is from RefSeq and is a predicted model, not a curated record. Lineage: Eukaryota; Metazoa; Chordata; Aves; Passeriformes; Pipridae. The transcript is spliced from 7 exons.
UUUCCACAAUAGAGAGAAUGAACGACAUUUCAUUUUAUUAAAACCAGAAAGGAUGCUGUUGGCCAUUUUGCCCAACAUCCUCAUCAGUACUGGCCAGGGGGGUCACUGCUUGCUCUCUGGAUUGGGUCAACAAUAUACCUCUGACCCAGGACUUUUUCAGGUAGUAAUCUGAGUGCUACUGAUGCUGUCUGAGCAAUAUUAUCCUGCAAUUAUUCUGCAAAAAAUUUAUUUUUCUAUAUUUGUUUUGUCGUUUAAGGAUCCUAAACCCCAGAUUUUCUUAACUGUGUUUCAAGGAGGCAAUGACUGCUUGCUACGUACUGGAAUGUGACCUUUAUAUUUGAUAUUAACUAAUGGGGACGAAAUCGCUUUUGGCUCUUGAUAUUCCUAAGUGUUCCCCUUUGGGGGCUGGAUUCCUUCCCAGCAAGUGGCAGCAGCCACCAGCAAAGGCUGUUGAAAUGUCAGAUGGCGAAAACAAGCAAGAGUUCCAGAUGGAGCAACUGGAUGAGAAACAUGACAAAGAUGGUAAUGGGAAAACUUCAGAUUCACACUUGAUUGGGAGUCCCAUGCUUGGGACUGGGAGUCCCCACCUGUGGCUUCCAAACCCACUCUCAGUGCAAGCUCUUGUGAAAAGCAGCAUCCCAUGAGGAAGUUCUUCAUUACCAUGGACUGAUGACUGAAAUAAUUAAAAGAAGCAUGUUGUGGUGCUCACAGCCUCCUACCUGCUGGUCUGCAAAUGGGACCUCACCACACUGAGCUCCUUCCCAGCGCAGCAAAAGUCACUGACCACCAUCGACUGUGUUGGCCACUUCACCAUUCCAGAGGAAUCCAGAGAAGUGAGUACUGGGAGUCCCUCAGCUGAGUGCACAGAUGUUGGGGCUGUGUCAUUGCCUGCAUCUUUCUCCACUUCUGGACUCUAAAUGAGUUAAUCCAACAGCUGUAGCAAUAGGAUUUCCUGUGCCUCUCUGCAGGAGGGCUGUGGAAGUGGAGCAGAACAGCCAACUUCAGAGAACUGAGCUGACAGGACCAACUCUGGCAUUUUGGCUGCUGCAGGUGGGCCAAGCAAUCACCAGGAAGUGGCAUCCAUCCUCUGAAGAUAACAUGACCCAUGCUGGCCGAGAACAUUGAUCUGAAGCUGUAUCCUGCAAAUGCUGAGCCCAUUGGUGAGCUGUAGGAGGCCUUCAGCAACCAUCAACCUCACUCCAGAAGGAAAGGGUAGAAUUUCCUGGAUGAUCAAGCUGGUAAAAGGAAAGGCUUCCUGGAGGUGCACUUCCCAGCAUGGCAAAUCCUGCACAGCGUGCACAGAACAGCUUCAGAGAUGGCAAAGACUGCAAGGGAAAGAAGAAGGCAUGAGAAAUCCCUCAAAUCAUUUGAAGGAAGGAUUGGUUCUGCUCCAGUGAAACCUGUGGUCUGUGACCCCUGUGAGACCUUUAGUGAACAUUAGGGGAAGAAUUGCAGUAGAAGUUUCAUUGCACUCUGCAGGUCUUCUGCUUGAGAAAGGAACAGCCAGCUAUCAAGGCAGUGCCCCACUUUGAAUUUUUGUAUCUCCUUCUUUGUCUUAUGAACUAUACACCUGGAGAUGUGUCUCAAUGGUCAGUGCAACCAGCUGGGCACAGUGCUGAGCAAAGGCUGUAUCUCCUCUGUCUAGGAUGUCAGACCCUACUAAGAGCUACCAUCAGUUACACACAAAGUCCCCAAAUAUCUUGGUGUCUCCAUAAUACAAUGUAUUGAGCUGGGGGUAAGUUGGGUCCCUUAACAAAGAAAAGCCCACAGAACCAGGCUUCACAGAGGGGAAUUUUUAAGUGACUUUUAAGUGUGUGGCCAGGGGCCUGCUAGAUGUUCUCCAGCUCUGUUCUGCUUCCAGAUCCUGGUGAUAGACACGGCAUUCAGUAGAAGCUCUACCAGCCAGUCCAUCAGAGCAGGGCAUGGAUGCAAGAAUUCAAGGAUGAGGAGCUGGCUUUAGACAGUAUGUUUGCACCCAUCUGAAACCUGUCCACUGUCUGAGAUAUUAAGUCAUUUUCUGAGCUUCUCAUUAUUGCUUUGUGCUCUUUCUCUAUUGUGUUUGUAUAAAGCAUAAGCCUUUGGGGUAGAACUUUUCUGCCUUUGACACUCCCAACUCAUUCUUGCAAACAUAUAUUUGUUGUUGUUGUUGUUGUUGUUGUUGAGUAACCAGUAAUAAAUAAUGUUUUGGUCAAGACUCUUGCAAUGUGUAGCUGAA